GGCGGCUUAAGGAUGUUUUGUUUUUACUGCAAUCGUGGAAAAGAUUCACGUCACUAGUUGUAAGAUUGUGCUGUACGUUGGAGCAGCAGACCCAGUGUGUGCGGCCGGUAUGUAAAAUCUGAAUGAAGCGCUGUCCAUCUGCCUUUGAAAAACCACCAAGAGGUCCAAAUGUAGUGUUCUUUGUAGACCUGCUAGGAUGUAAGCUGGWCAUGCAAGUUCUACUAUGAAGAUGCUAGGAUCCAAGCAGGUGAAUUAUAUCAUCAUGGUUAGAUUCCAUAGCGGAGCUCCCGCGCGGGCCGAAUUGGGUCAAAUGAGAGUUCUAGCAUUGGUGAAGGCAGAAGACUUGCGAUUCAUCAAACUUAUAUUCUUGUGAAAAAUCAAUGAAYAAAUAUAAUUUUUUCUGCUU
This is a long non-coding RNA of Exaiptasia diaphana, 406 nucleotides long. RefSeq lists it as uncharacterized. NCBI's taxonomy places the organism in Eukaryota, Metazoa, Cnidaria, Anthozoa, Actiniaria, Aiptasiidae. The transcript has 3 exons. The record is from RefSeq and is a predicted model, not a curated record.